Molecule: ribosomal RNA, 1898 nt
Filed under: Triticum aestivum (bread wheat)
Lineage: Eukaryota; Viridiplantae; Streptophyta; Magnoliopsida; Poales; Poaceae
Description: partial small subunit ribosomal RNA
Source: RNAcentral
CGCUGCCCACGGGACGAGUGGUGGCCGCGGUGACGAACGCUGCUGCUCCUCCGCUUCCUCGAACUCCAAGAUGCGGGCCACGGAUCCGUGGUCGCCUUCUUCCGCGAACAGCGGCGGUGCCCGCUGUCGGCGUCAGACUCCCAAGCAAGCGAGGAUGAGCACGACGCGUAGGAGGACGACGACCCGAGCUUGAGCCCGACCAUGACGCACCGCACAAGGUCCUUGCUUCCUUCCUGACGGCAAUGGAUCCCUUCCUUGCAGUUGCCUGGGUUGCUGACGAGAUCCAUCUGCCCGGCUGGAGCCUGUUAUUCGCUUGAUGAAAGUCAGACCAAUUGUAGGACUGACCUUUCUCUCAAAUUUCACCUGAAACACCAAGCUUUACAUCUGAAGCUCAGCAGUAUAAUUUUCCAGAGUUUGGCUUGAGGCAUCAUUUUGCAGCUGAAAGGAAAUGGGCUCUUUGUCUUCAGGUGGAGUCAGACUUUGUUGAGAACAUGAUGCAUAACCAAAGCAUCGGCAGCACCUGCGAGAGGAGGCUACCACUGCUUCCACUGUAUGGAACCAAUGUAUUCAAACUACUCUCCUGUGAGGAUUUGUUCUGCUAUACAAUUUUCUUUCAUUUCCCAUCCAGGUUGUGUUCAAAUGAUAGGUGGCAUUGCAAAUUAUGACCAGUUUAAAUGUUGUUUAGUGAGGUUUAAGCUGCUUUCAGGUUUACCAAGCAUUCUCUACUGUAGUAUUUGGUCCUUCUCCCCUCCUCUUCUUAGUGCUUGCAUUUGAUGAAGCAAAACAUGCAUAUCUCAUCAGUGCUUGCUUGACUCUGGGCUGGAUCUCAGCGGCAUUUGCUCAACCUGCAGCUGUCUCUUGAUAUCCUUUUUGCGGUUUAGUAUUACAGUGAACCGACUCAUCAGCGUCGCAUGGGUACUUGGUGUCACGUCCACCCGCCGAGUUGACGAGUCAUAUAUUGCUUUCCAAAUUGUUCUUAUUCCUGUGACUCAUAAGUCGUAAUGCAAAAAUAAUAUGCGUCCAAGGAAGCAGGCCAGGAUAUAUAUUGCUUUCCCUAUAUAAAGUAUACUUCCUUAGUCCUCUCUGUUAACACCGAGUUUUUUUGUGUGUGGCUAUUAGCCAGGUAGCAGGCCAGAAUCUUACUCAUUGUUAUAUGAAUUAAAUAUGGAUUGUGUCAUGCCCACAGUACGAUAUGUAGGGCAAAAGAUCGGCCUAUUAGGUCAUUGUACUCUUCUUAGUUGGGUUGUGAACACCUCAGCUAUACUUGAUGUGUAGAGGCAUAUUCUUGCUAUAAUCUGUUCUGACUGCCAUGCUUCUUAGUUUCCAAUAUAUUAGUCCAACAAAUGAUGUUGCUUCCUAAUUUUUUGUAAUUACAAUAUGCUCUGAUAGACAUUUUAUAUGUUUCUCUAAUUCUUUGGUCUGGUUUCGAGCUCAGAUGUAUUUAAGGUUGUCUUGCAACAAUGCAUCUUUAGGGACCUGAAGUUCAUUAUUAAGAGAAGCUGAUGCUUGUGCGGAUUGUUGAAUCAAUCAAGAUGGAAUGCAAUAGAGUCUCAUUGGUACCAUUGCCGAUGACCACGAUGCAGACAUUCACUCUAUUAUCUGAGAUUUUUUUUGCUCAUCCCCUAUGGUAGAUGAUAGUUCAAGCUGUGAAUUAAUCCACUAUACAUAUUUUCAUCUUUUGUUGUGUUUUAGCAUAACCGUUGUCUGAUUUGAGUUUUUGUAAGCCUGCUGAAGUCCUAUUGAUUGUGUUCCUGCAACUCAGUUUUCAUCAAAGGGGUGUCUUCUGAAAAUUAAGAGAAUAACUAAUUGUAUAUGCUAUUUAUUUGUGUACUUUUUGUGAGAUUCAGAUGAUGCACACUUGAAUUAUAAUUGAAUCAUGUGUCCUCGGCUAUUGAGGC